RNAcentral lists this ribosomal RNA (253 nucleotides) under uncultured bacterium. Its description in RNAcentral is "partial 16S ribosomal RNA". It matches the Rfam family "Bacterial small subunit ribosomal RNA", at positions 524 to 776 of the family's 1533-position model. The record is from RNAcentral.
UACGUAGGUGGCGAGCGUUGUCCGGAUUUACUGGGCGUAAAGGGAGCGUAGGCGGACUUUUAAGUGAGAUGUGAAAUACUCGGGCUCAACUUGAGUGCUGCAUUUCAAACUGGAAGUCUAGAGUGCAGGAGAGGAGAGUGGAAUUCCUAGUGUAGCGGUGAAAUGCGUAGAGAUUAGGAAGAACACCAGUGGCGAAGGCGAUUCUCUGGACUGUAACUGACGCUGAGGCUCGAAAGCGUGGGGAGCAAACAGG